GAGAGAUAUAAAGAAAAAGACAUAUACAUAGAUAGAUUAUCUUUUCAUAAGGUUGAGCGAUCUGAUCUGACAAAUGUUAUAAGUGCUACACUCAUGAACUUUUCAUCCAUCAACUUUGUCUUGCUCGCUAUGCUUAGGGUUAGAGAAGAACAAAUACACUUUAGAUACUGUUGGUGUUUUCCACCAACAGGACCCAUGCACUUGAUCUCUGCCUUGUCUCUAUGAGUAGGUACACUUUGAGCAAAACACGGAGGAGUUUUAUAACUCUCAGACUCUACCAAGUGAAGGACCUGGAUCUACGAGCAUAAACACACUGAGUAGGUUACUGCCAACGCCGCACCUCGAACUGCUGGGCAAACGAAGAACAUGUGUGACACCGUAUCAAGAGGUGCAGACGUCAAGGUCCACACCUGAAUCAAAUGACGCACCUGAAGAAUGAACACGGUGAGAAGUCUUGUUAAGAAGACUUAAAACAUUGAACCCUCGCCGAAAGGUAAGAUCAGUAUUUAUCCGUAUUUAUCCUUUCUGCAUUCCCUUUUCCCUUUAAUUAUUUACUUUCCUUAAAUAGAUUAUUAGUUAAUCAUGCUAUCUUGAAAGAAAAUAAAAAUGUUAAAAAAUACUAAGCCCCAUGUGAGUAUACGAGUGGCAUAAAACUCAUAAGUACCUUCACUGUGGUGGCAUAAAAAUAAAAUAAAUAUUUCUUUUCUGCUUUAUAAAAUAAAAAUAUAAAAACAGGGAGUAAUAUUUAUUGAGGAAGCUCAACAUGAUGAAGGCCAGAUAUUUAUGCUAACACUUAAUUAGUUCCACAAGCUUUGUUGUCUAUUUGAGCUCCACAGAAUUUAAGAAUCAAGAAGACUAGCAGACGGAGGACAUUCUAAUCGCAGUCAGAAUGCUGCUGACUUUCAAAUACACCUCUGCCACCUGCUAGCUACAUCAAGAGAAAUUACGUCAAAAUUCAGCUUGGGGGAGAGCACCCCCAUUUAUCUCGCUAAGUAUUUCUACCUAUCCUUAUACUUAUAUUAUAUUAGAAUAUUAAAAUACAUAAACUAUUAAAAAGCAAAUAAAGAUUUUGUGCUUAUAUAUAUCUUUUACUUAGUGUGUUUAAUAAAUAAAUAAAGUGGCUAUGCUAAUCUGAAUCUUAAUAAUAAAACUCUAGCAUGGAUAUGAUGAAUAGUUGCUCUGCCUAAUUUACAAAUUUGAAGUUCUCUCUCAAGUUUAGACAUAAUUGUUAUAAUUUAAAGCUUGCUCUAGAUCUAAAUUUGUGGGAUAAAAAGUUGAUCUGAAAUCUAAGUUGUUAACGGAUAUGAUAUGGGAAGGUUGAGCUGUUGUUUAUCUGUUCCUAGAGAUGCUAGAAUUUUGGAGAAUUUUAUCUUUGAAACAUCUUUAAAAUAUUGCAUGAUGAGUUCCUGUAUGAUGAAAGUUUAAAUUCCUACCACAGCCAUAUAUACAUGCUUGCUAGACUUUGAGCCACACAUUUACUAUUUACUGCUUAUGAGCAUUGAGUGUGGUCAAGCUAUGUAGACCCUUAGGAGCUUGUCAUGUGGUUAAAUCAAGAUUUCACUUGCACAUUCACUCAUAUAUGCUACUUCUACUCCGGAAGUACCAUCCACUUAUUUCCAUCUCUAGAACCACCCAAAAAUAUUCUACUCCUAAUCCGGGAGAGAAUAACCAAAAAUAUUUCUAUUUUUCCUUGUGAAAUAAAUGAUCAAGUUAUCUUGUUACUACCACUUGCUAUAUUAUCUCAUGAGAUGAGUGCUCUAAAAAAAGAAGGGAGAGAAAAAAUAUACGAGGAAAUAAAAAGGGGAAAGUGCCCGGAACCUCGAAAGAAAAAAAAAGAGUGAGACGAGAGGUAAAAAUGGACAAGUGUCCGACAGUAGAAUUAGGGGUACAGGAUACCCACUUGAGAGGAAAGAAAAAUGAAAGAUAGAGCAUCUUAUUCUCCUCAUAAAGUUUCAAAAAGCAAGGAAGGUAUGUAUCCCCUCAAAAGAGCAAAAGUAGAAUUAGACUUCCACCAUUGUUAUCAUCAUCAUCACCAUACACCAUUCAUUCGCCACACAUGCACAUCUUGAUUUGACUUAUUGACUUGUUUCUCUGGAUCCAUGGUUUGACUAUGCAAUAAAUGUCUUGUAAGUAUGUAUUAGCUGUCUCCCACCUAUGAGCUCCAGAUAUUAAAGCCUUAUUAGAGUAGGGUGAGAUAGAAGGCAAUGUCACUAUGCCUUAUACCACAAAUACCAUAUAUCUUGAGAGAAGGCAUAUACCAUCACUGCCUUGGUAAGGAUCCAGAAAUACCACAAAAGAGAGAUUUAGAGAGUCAUACAAGGAAUCUCUGAGUUUUAUUUGAAAAUCUGCAAAAACUCCAGAGCUAUAGCUAAUCAAGAAUAAGAGACAUGGCACUUGGCUAGACUGUUCUAUCUUUUAACUACUCAAGGCAGAAGUAACGGUUACAAGUCCCAUGGUGAAAGGUAAAGUAAGUAAGUUUUAGUUCUUGACAGUUUACUCUAACUCAGAGAUGAGAUCAUAUUUAAAAGCAUGUGUACCGUCAAAUUUUUA
RNAcentral lists this long non-coding RNA (2550 nucleotides) under Sorghum bicolor (sorghum). RNAcentral's name for it is "long non-coding RNA (SBIC_LNC013975)". Lineage: Eukaryota; Viridiplantae; Streptophyta; Magnoliopsida; Poales; Poaceae. The record is from RNAcentral.